This 688-nucleotide ribosomal RNA is filed under the name uncultured eukaryote. RNAcentral describes it as "SSU rRNA". It matches the Rfam family "Eukaryotic small subunit ribosomal RNA", at positions 432 to 1126 of the family's 1831-position model. The record is from RNAcentral.
GCGCGCAAAUUACCCAAUCCCGACACGGGGAGGUAGUGACAAUAAAUACUGAUACAGGGCUCUUUUGGGUCUUGUAAUUGGAAUGAGUACAAUUUAAAUCCCUUAACGAGGAACAAUUGGAGGGCAAGUCUGGUGCCAGCAGCCGCGGUAAUUCCAGCUCCAAUAGCGUAUAUUAAAGUUGUUGUGGUUAAAAAGCUCGUAGUUGAACCUUGGGCCUGGCUGGCCGGUCCGCCUCACCGCGUGUACUGGUCCGGCCGGGCCUUUCCCUCUGUGGAACCCCAUGCCCUUCACUGGGUGUGGCGGGGAAACAGGACUUUUACUUUGAAAAAAUUAGAGUGCUCCAGGCAGGCCUACGCUCGAAUACAUUAGCAUGGAAUAAUAGAAUAGGACGUGUGGUUCUAUUUUGUUGGUUUCUAGGACCGCCGUAAUGAUUAAUAGGGACAGUCGGGGGCAUCAGUAUUCAAUUGUCAGAGGUGAAAUUCUUGGAUUUAUUGAAGACUAACUACUGCGAAAGCAUUUGCCAAGGAUGUUUUCAUUAAUCAGGAACGAAAGUCAGGGGAUCGAAGACGAUCAGAUACCGUCGUAGUCUUAACCAUAAACUAUGCCGACUAGGGAUCGGACGAUGUUAUUUUUUGACUCGUUCGGCACCUUACGAGAAAUCAAAGUGCUUGGGCUCCAGGGGGAGUAU